RNAcentral lists this ribosomal RNA (457 nucleotides) under uncultured bacterium. RNAcentral's name for it is "partial 16S ribosomal RNA". It matches the Rfam family "Bacterial small subunit ribosomal RNA", at positions 29 to 523 of the family's 1533-position model. The record is from RNAcentral.
AACGAACGCUGGCGGCAUGCCUAACACAUGCAAGUCGAACGAAGGCUUCACUUCGGUGGGGCCUUAGUGGCGCACGGGUGAGUAACACGUGGGAAUCUGCCUUUCGGUUCGGGAUAACGUCUGGAAACGGACGCUAACACCGGAUACGCCCUUCGGGGGAAAGUUCACGCCGAGAGAGGAGCCCGCGUCCGAUUAGGUAGUUGGUGGGGUAACGGCCCACCAAGCCUUCGAUCGGUAGCUGGUCUGAGAGGAUGAUCAGCCACACUGGGACUGAGACACGGCCCAGACUCCUACGGGAGGCAGCAGUGGGGAAUAUUGGACAAUGGGGGCAACCCUGAUCCAGCAAUGCCGCGUGAGUGAUGAAGGCCUUAGGGUUGUAAAGCUCUUUCGCACGCGACGAUGAUGACGGUAGCGUGAGAAGAAGCCCCGGCUAACUUCGUGCCAGCAGCCGCCGUAA